Molecule: long non-coding RNA, 1292 nt
Filed under: Homo sapiens (human)
Lineage: Eukaryota; Metazoa; Chordata; Mammalia; Primates; Hominidae
Description: HSALNT0021909
Source: RNAcentral
CCCGGCUGCAAGCUAGGUCGUCGACUGUAGGAAAUCAGUACUACUUUAGGAACAGUGUUGUAGAUCCAUUUAGAAAAAAGGAGAAUGAUGCAGCAGUUAAAAUCCAAAGCUGGUUUCGAGGAUGUCAAGUUCGGGCAUAUAUCAGGCAUUUAAACAGGAUUGUAACAAUUAUUCAAAAAUGGUGGAGAAGUUUCUUAGGCAGAAAGCAAUAUCAACUAACUGUGCAGAUGGAGUCUCACUCUCUUCCCCAGGCUGGAGUGCAAUGGCACGAUUUCGUCUCACCGCAACCUCUGCCUCCUGGGUUCAAGCGAUUCUCCUGCCUUAGCUUUCUGAGUAGCUGGGAUUACAGGCUCCAGCCACCACACCUGGCUAAUUUUUUUGUGUUUUUAGUAGAGACAGGGUUUCACCAUGUUGGCCAAGCUGGUCUCAAACUCCUGACCUCAGAUGAUCUGCCUGCCUCGGCCUCCCAAAGUGCUGGGAUUACAGGUGUGAGCCACCACGCCCGGCCAAACUUUUUUUUUUCCCUUCUCCUGUCUUGAUUUUGGUUAAAAACAUCAUUUUAAAAAAGUAACUCUUUGAAUUACUCUGAAAUCAAAUGCCUCUAUUUCUGUUUCUGCUUAACAUUUUGGAAAGGAAAAAUUGGGAAGAAGAUGUAACUAAUAGUUACAGAAUAUAUCCUAGGUGCCAGACACUGUGGUAAGCAUUAAAUAUGCAAUAUCUCUGAGUCUUCUACCUACCUUUUGACUCUCAUUGAACUGUAGAAAGAGGACAGGCUUUAGACCUGAUGACGGAAGUUUGAUGACUGUGGGCAAGUUAUUUAACCUGUGUGGACCUUGCUUAUGUCCCUUGUCUUUAAAAUGAGGAUAAGAAUGUGUGGGAGAUUUUUGUGAAAAUUAAGUGAAACACUGUACGUAAAAUACCCAGAACUGUGAUUGGCACCUAGUCGGUGCUCAAAAAUGGUAGUUUUUCAUUUGUGAUGCUGUUGUUAGUAUUAUUCAAAAACUAUCGAGGCAGUUUGCUUAGAGUAAUAUGAGUGAGUGAUUUUCAGAUCAGAUUAGCUCCAUUUUACAUUUCUCUCACUUAUGCAUAAUCACAUGAUAAUUUUAUUAUAUGUGAGUGAGUGUAGUGUGUGGAUAGAUAGAUACAUAGGCAUACAAUUUUUAUACAGUGACUCAGGAAACCUCUUACAUUUUGAAGCUUGUCUUUCUUAGAAUUAGUGACAAUAGAAAUUAGGAGGAAAGCAAAGAAACACAAAGACAGAUGUCUUUAAAUCUGUACUUAUAAUAAAUAGG